RNAcentral lists this ribosomal RNA (1008 nucleotides) under human gut metagenome. RNAcentral describes it as "bacterial LSU rRNA". It matches the Rfam family "Bacterial large subunit ribosomal RNA", at positions 1922 to 2925 of the family's 2925-position model. The record is from RNAcentral.
AGUAAACGGCGGCCGUAACUAUAACGGUCCUAAGGUAGCGAAAUUCCUUGUCGGGCAAGUUCCGACCUGCACGAAUGGCAUAACGAUGGCCACACUGUCUCCUCCUGAGACUCAGUGAAGUUGAAGUGUUUGUGAUGAUGCAAUCUCCCCGCGGCUAGACGGAAAGACCCCAUGAACCUUUACUGUAGCUUUGCAUUGGACUUUGAACCGAUCUGUGUAGGAUAGGCGGGAGCCUGUGAAACCACAACGCCAGUUGUGGUGGAGGCGUCCUUGAAAUACCGCCCUGAUUUGUUUGAGGUUCUAACCUGGGACAGUCAUCCUGUCCGGGGACCGUGCAUGGUAGGCAGUUUGACUGGGGCGGUCUCCUCCUAAAGGGUAACGGAGGAGUGCGAAGGUACGCUAGGUACGGUCGGAAAUCGUGCUGAUAGUGCAAUGGCAAAAGCGUGCUUGACUGCGAGACCGACAAGUCGAGCAGAUACGAAAGUAGGUCAUAGUGAUCCGGUGGCUCUGUAUGGAAGGGCCAUCGCUCAACGGAUAAAAGGUACUCCGGGGAUAACAGGCUGAUACCGCCCAAGAGUUCAUAUCGACGGCGGUGUUUGGCACCUCGAUGUCGGCUCAUCUCAUCCUGGGGCUGUAGCCGGUCCCAAGGGUAUGGCUGUUCGCCAUUUAAAGAGGUACGUGAGCUGGGUUUAAAACGUCGUGAGACAGUUUGGUCCCUAUCUACCGCGGGCGCUGGAAGAUUGACAGGGGCUGCUCCUAGUACGAGAGGACCGGAGUGGACGCACCUCUGGUGUAUCGGUUGUGACGCCAGUCGCAUUGCCGAGUAGCUAUGUGCGGAAGAGAUAACCGCUGAAAGCAUCUAAGCGGGAAACUUGCCUGAAGAUAAGUCUUCCUGGAGGCUAGACCUCCCUAAAGAGUCGUUCGAGACCAGGACGUUGAUAGGAUGGGUGUGUAAGUGCUGUGAGGCACUCAGCUAACCAUUACUAAUUGCUCGUGAAGCUUGAUCCU